AAAGGCAGUUAGGUUUUAAAAUAUAAAAGUUUAAUGAUCUUCUAUAUAAAAGUAAAAUUUGAACAUAGAUAGUUAACUCAAAUAUGACUUAUAUACUGAAGCUGCGAUAGUUUUGAGGGAAACUGGGAUUAGAUACCCCAUUAUUCAUAACUGUAAAUUUAAUAAAAAUUUUACCAGAGUACUAUGAAUAUCUAAAUAAUUUAAAACUCAAAGGGCUUGGCGGUGUUUUAGACCUAUCAGGGGAACCUGUCUCGUAAUCGACAAUCCACGUUAAACCUAACCCUAUUUUGUACCCAGUUUGUAUACCGUCGUCGUCAGGUAACUUUUAAAAAUUCAGAAGUUAGCAAAAAAAUAGACAUAAAUUAGUACGUCAGAUCAAGGUGCAGCUAAUAAAAGGGAGAGGAUGGGUUACAAUUAUAUCAUUUAUAACUACGAAUAGUUCUAUGAAAACAUAACUUGAAGGAGGACUUGAAAGUAAAAUAAUACAUAUACAAAUAAUUUGAAUAAGGCUCUGAAACGUGCACACAUCGCCCGUCGCUCUCGUUGAAAAAUGAGAUAAGUCGUAACAUAGCAGGGGUAAUGGAAAUUGCCCCUAAAUG
RNAcentral lists this ribosomal RNA (599 nucleotides) under Neobuccinum eatoni. RNAcentral describes it as "partial 12S ribosomal RNA". It matches the Rfam family "Microsporidia small subunit ribosomal RNA", at positions 448 to 1303 of the family's 1311-position model. Lineage: Eukaryota; Metazoa; Mollusca; Gastropoda; Neogastropoda; Buccinidae. The record is from RNAcentral.